UACGGGGGGGGGCAAGCGUUGUUCGGAAUUACUGGGCGUAAAGGGCUCGUAGGCGGCCAACUAAGUCAGAUGUGAAAUCCCCAGGCUUAACCUGGGAACUGCAUCUGAUACUGGAUGGCUUGAAUCCGGGAGAGGGAUGCAGAAUUCCAGGUGUAGCGGUGAAAUGCGUAGAUAUCAAGAGGAACACCAGUGGCGAAGGCGAGUCCCUGGACGAUACCUGACACUGAGGCACGAAAGCUAGGGGAGCAAACAGG
RNAcentral lists this ribosomal RNA (254 nucleotides) under uncultured bacterium. Its description in RNAcentral is "partial 16S ribosomal RNA". It matches the Rfam family "Bacterial small subunit ribosomal RNA", at positions 524 to 776 of the family's 1533-position model. The record is from RNAcentral.